AUGUGUGGACGGGAUAAGUGCUGAAAGCAUCUAAGCAUGAAGCCCCCCUCAAGAUGAGAUUUCCCAACUUCGGUUAUAAGAUCCCUCAAAGAUGAUGAGGUUAAUAGGUUCGAUGUGGAAGCAUGGUGACAUGUGGAGCUGACGAAUACUAAUCGAUCGAAGACUUAAUCAA
RNAcentral lists this ribosomal RNA (172 nucleotides) under Staphylococcus aureus. RNAcentral's name for it is "partial 23S ribosomal RNA". It matches the Rfam family "Bacterial large subunit ribosomal RNA", at positions 2751 to 2925 of the family's 2925-position model. Lineage: Bacteria; Bacillati; Bacillota; Bacilli; Caryophanales; Staphylococcaceae. The record is from RNAcentral.